AGUGAACGCUGGCGGCAGGCCUAACACAUGCAAGUCGAACGACAGCACAGUAAGAUCUUUCCCUUACGGUUGGCGAGUGGCGGACGGGUGAGGAAUACAUACCAAUCUACUAUUUCGGGGGUAAUAACGGAAGGCAAGUUACGCUACUACCGCAUACGUUGAACGGCUGAAAUCAGUGGAGCUUCGGACUUUUGGUGUCUGUAUUAGCUGAUGCCGCAUUAGCUAGUUGGCGAGGUAAAGGCCUACCAAGGCGACGAUGCGUAGCUGACCUGAGAGGAUGAUCGGCCACACUGGAACUGAGACACGGUCCAGACUCCUACGGGAGGCAGCAGUAGGGAAUCUUGCGCAAUGGGCGCAAGCCUGACGCAGCAACGCCGCGUGAGUGAUGAAGGUCUUCGGAUCGUAAAGCUCUUUUAUUAGGGAAGAACAACUGUGUAAGUAACCAUGCCCGUCCUGACGGUACCCAAUCAGAAAGCACCGGCUAACUACGUG
Molecule: ribosomal RNA, 492 nt
Filed under: uncultured bacterium
Lineage: Bacteria
Description: partial 16S ribosomal RNA
Rfam family: Bacterial small subunit ribosomal RNA
Source: RNAcentral